This is a non-coding RNA of Dipodomys ordii (Ord's kangaroo rat), 65 nucleotides long. NCBI's taxonomy places the organism in Eukaryota, Metazoa, Chordata, Mammalia, Rodentia, Heteromyidae. The record is from Rfam.
GGUGGCUCAAUGGUAGAGCGCUUGCCUUGCAUGCAUGAGGCCUUGGGUUCGAUUCCUCAGCACCA